Molecule: ribosomal RNA, 208 nt
Filed under: uncultured bacterium
Lineage: Bacteria
Description: partial 16S ribosomal RNA
Rfam family: Bacterial small subunit ribosomal RNA
Source: RNAcentral
CACGUAGGCGGAUUGUUAAGUCGGGGGUGAAAUCCUGGAGCUCAACUCCAGAACUGCCUUCGAUACUGGCGAUCUUGGAGUCCGGGAGAGGUGAGUGGAACUGCGAGUGUAGAGGUGAAAUUCGUAGAUAUUCGCAAGAACACCAGUGGCGAAGGCGGCUCACUGGCCCGGUACUGACGCUGAGGUGCGAAAGCGUGGGGAGCAAACA